AGGCACCCGUCAAUCACCUCAGCCACCCAGGCUUGCACCCCAGGAAUUUCAACACCUUCCAAAUAUGAUCGAAAAUGUAGACACUAAUUCACGAAUGAUUCUUCUAAAUCUCCUUGGUGAUAAUGUCUAGAUGGGAUGUGAAUCUACGAUGAAGAAUAAUAUGCAAAUCCCUCCCCGUGAGCAAUGUGGCAUGUUGCUAGGAUGGAGCAGGACCAAGCUGCCAAUAAAAGAAAAGCUUCUGUAGUCACCAAACCGAAACAGAAAGCAUUGGCCUUGAGGGAUCAUUGCUGAGCACAAGAACAGCAGAACGGUUAGAAGGCUGUUGAUAAAGCAAUAACCACAGCUCUUGAACUGUGUAUCCACUGAAGUAAUAUUAUGGUUUCUUAGCUCUUAAUCAUUUUAAAUGACCAGUAGCCUGAUCUCUGGAGUAGAUCUGAAAUCCCCAGACUGUGAUAUUCCUAUUAAAACUCUUCGCACUCCUCAUAAUUUAUCC
Chelonia mydas (Green sea turtle) is the source of this 493-nucleotide long non-coding RNA. RefSeq lists it as uncharacterized. The record is from RefSeq and is a predicted model, not a curated record. NCBI's taxonomy places the organism in Eukaryota, Metazoa, Chordata, Testudines, Cheloniidae. The transcript has 3 exons.